RNAcentral lists this ribosomal RNA (415 nucleotides) under Staphylococcus aureus. RNAcentral's name for it is "partial 23S ribosomal RNA". It matches the Rfam family "Bacterial large subunit ribosomal RNA", at positions 566 to 982 of the family's 2925-position model. Lineage: Bacteria; Bacillati; Bacillota; Bacilli; Caryophanales; Staphylococcaceae. The record is from RNAcentral.
ACAAGUAGUCAGAGCCCGUUAAUGGGUGAUGGCGUGCCUUUUGUAGAAUGAACCGGCGAGUUACGAUUUGAUGCAAGGUUAAGCAGUAAAUGUGGAGCCGUAGCGAAAGCGAGUCUGAAUAGGGCGUUUAGUAUUUGGUCGUAGACCCGAAACCAGGUGAUCUACCCUUGGUCAGGUUGAAGUUCAGGUAACACUGAAUGGAGGACCGAACCGACUUACGUUGAAAAGUGAGCGGAUGAACUGAGGGUAGCGGAGAAAUUCCAAUCGAACCUGGAGAUAGCUGGUUCUCUCCGAAAUAGCUUUAGGGCUAGCCUCAAGUGAUGAUUAUUGGAGGUAGAGCACUGUUUGGACGAGGGGCCCCUCUCGGGUUACCGAAUUCAGACAAACUCCGAAUGCCAAUUAAUUUAACUUGGGA